GAAAUAUACAAUAAUUAAGCUGCUAACUUAAUUCAUAGUGAUUCAUUUCAUUAAUAUUUCU
Molecule: transfer RNA, 61 nt
Filed under: Chitoria ulupi (tawny emperor)
Lineage: Eukaryota; Metazoa; Arthropoda; Insecta; Lepidoptera; Nymphalidae
Description: tRNA-Ser
Source: RNAcentral